RNAcentral lists this ribosomal RNA (253 nucleotides) under uncultured bacterium. RNAcentral's name for it is "partial 16S ribosomal RNA". It matches the Rfam family "Bacterial small subunit ribosomal RNA", at positions 524 to 776 of the family's 1533-position model. The record is from RNAcentral.
UACGUAGGGGGCAAGCGUUGUCCGGAAUCAUUGGGCGUAAAGCGCGUGUAGGCGGUCCGGUAAGUCCGCUGUGAAAGUCGGGGGCUUAACCCUCGGAUGCCGGUGGAUACUGGCGGGCUUGAGUACGGAAGAGGCGAGUGGAAUUCCUGGUGUAGCGGUGAAAUGCGCAGAUAUCAGGAGGAACACCAAUUGCGAAGGCAGCUCGCUGGGACGGUACUGACGCUGAGACGCGAAAGCGUGGGGAGCAAACAGG